AAAGGACAAGGAGCACAGUGGAGAGGGGGAUUGGCCAGUGGAAGCGGAGAUUUCAUGUGCUCCAUGGUGAAAUCAGAGUCAGCCCUCCUGCAUAUGUGUGUAGAAUAAUACAGGUGUGUGCUAUUUUGCACAACAUCUGCAAAGACAGACGCCUCCCUGUACCCGAGGAAGGAGAGGACGAGGGUGAUGGUGCAGGUUUCCAUGAGGACCCACCUGUCCCACUACCACCUGUACCUGGACGAGUUCGGGAAGGUCUGCUCUACAGGGAUGAGUUUGUCAACCUUCACUUCAUUGACAGACCUCAACCUCAGCCUCGUGCAGCUGUGUGAUGCUUCCCG
Eriocheir sinensis (Chinese mitten crab) is the source of this 338-nucleotide long non-coding RNA. RefSeq lists it as uncharacterized. The record is from RefSeq and is a predicted model, not a curated record. Lineage: Eukaryota; Metazoa; Arthropoda; Malacostraca; Decapoda; Varunidae. The transcript has 3 exons.